AUGAAUAAAUAUUAUCCAUUAAAAACCUUUAAAAAGGUGCUGCGAUACACAGUGUUAUAUUUCCGUUUGCUCCGUGACUCGCUCCGGUGGCGCUGCUCCCUCAGCCGUGCGGCACGGUUCGUCCCGGGGGCGGCACGGUUCGUCCCGGGGCACGGCGGGUCCCGGGGCACGGUUCGUCCCGGGGCACGGUUCGUCCCGGGGCACGGCUGGCCCCGGGGGGCACGGCUGGCCCCGGGGCACGGUUCGUCCCGGGGCACGGCUGGUCCGGGGGUACGGCUGGUCCCGGGGGCGGCACGGUUCGUCCCGGGGCACGGUUCGUCCCGGGGCACGGUUCGUCCCGGGGGCACGGCGGGUCCCGGGGCACGGCGGGUCCCGGAGCCCGGCCCCGGCCCCGGUACCGGCACGGCGGCGUUCUGGUCCUGCAGCACUUUCCCCGGUGCCAUUCCCCGGUACCGGCACGGCGGCGUUCUCCCGGUUCCCCGGUCCCGGCAGCUCGGUCCCGGCACGGCGGCGUUGUUCCGGUUGUCCCGGUGCCCGCAGCCCGGUGCCGGUCCCGCUGCCGGUCCCGCUGCCGGUCCCGCUGCCGCAGCCCGGUGCCGGUCCCGCUGCCCGAUGCCGGUGCCGGUGUCGGUGCCCGGUGCCGGUGCCGGUCCCGCUGCCGCAGCCGGUCCCGCCGCCGCAGCCCUGUGCCGGUGCCGGUGCCGGUCCCGCAGCCGGUGCCGGUGCCGGUCCCGCAGCCAGUCCCGCAGCCGGUGCCGGUGCCCGCAGCCGGUGCCGGUCCCAGCCGCUGCCGCUGCCUCAGCCGGUUCCGGUGCCGGUCCCGCAGCCCGGUGCCCGCAGCCGGUGCCGGUGCCGCUGCCGGUCCCGGUGCCGGUCCCGCUGCCGGUCCCGCUGCUGCAGCCCGGUGCCGGUCCCGCAGCCGGUGCCGGUCCUGCAGCCCGGUCCCGCAGCCGGUACCGGUGCCAGUGCCGGUCCCGCAGCCGGUCCCGGUGCCGGUGCCGCCGCCGCAGCCCGGUGCCGCCGGGCCGGUCACAAGGCCGAGACCUUGACGACGCUGGCGGCGGCGCCGGGAGCGUUCGUGGCGGGGCUGCCCGGGCCGGGCCGGCUCUCGGCCUCGGGGGUCAGCGCCGGCGGCGUGGGGAUGCUGAUGAUGGCCGUGGUGAUCUGCGCGCCUUUGCAGUUCGGCCUCAGCCCGUCGUCCGCCUUCAUGUUGAGGCUGGAACGACUGGAAAACAAAUUUAG
Molecule: long non-coding RNA, 1242 nt
Organism: Taeniopygia guttata (zebra finch)
Lineage: Eukaryota; Metazoa; Chordata; Aves; Passeriformes; Estrildidae
Source: Ensembl